Molecule: ribosomal RNA, 372 nt
Filed under: uncultured organism
Description: bacterial SSU rRNA
Rfam family: Bacterial small subunit ribosomal RNA
Source: RNAcentral
CAGAGGGUGCGAGCGUUAAUCGGAAUUACUGGGCGUAAAGCGUGCGUAGACGGUUAUUUAAGUCGGGUGUGAAAGCCCCGGGCUCAACCUGGGAAUUGCAUUCGAGACUGAAUAGCUAGGGUACGGUAGAGGGAAGUGGAAUUUCCGGUGUAGCGGUGAAAUGCGUAGAUAUCGGAAGGAACAUCAGUGGCGAAAGCGACUUCCUGGACCAGUACCGACGUUCAGGCACGAAAGCGUGGGGAGCAAACAGGAUUAGAUACCCUGGUAGUCCACGCCAUAAACGAUGAGGACUAGACGUUGGAGGGGUAAGCCUUUCAGUGUCGUAGCUAACGCGCUAAGUCCUCCGCCUGGGGGAGUACGGCCGCAAGGUUG